AUGAAUGAGGUGCGGGAACUGUCCUAUGACCUGGAGGACGCCAUCGACGACUUCAUGCAGAGCGUCGGUGACAAAGAUGAAAAGCCAGAUGGUUUCAUUGAAAAGAUCAAAAAUUCACUAGGGAAGUUGGGGAAGAUGAAGGCUCGCCAUCGGAUUGGCAAGGAGAUCCAAGAUCUGAAGAAACAAAUCAAAGAGGUGGGUGACAGGAAUGCAAGGUACAAGGGUCGUCAAACCUUCUCUAGCACCAAAAAUGAAGUUGUAGACCCUAGAAUUCUUGCUAGAUUCGAGCAUGCAUCAAAACUCGUUGGAAUUGAUGAAACCAAAGCCGAGAUAAUCAAGCUAUUAGGCGAAGAAAAUGGACAAGUGCCAAGGCAACAACAACUGAAGAUAGUCUCCAUUGUUGGAUUUGGAGGAAUGGGGAAGACAACUCUUGCAAACCAAGUGUAUCAAGACCUCAAAGGGGAAUUCCAGUAUCGAGCUUUCAUAUCGGUGUCACGAAAUCCAGACUUGAUGAAAAUCCUCAGAACUAUCCUUAGUGAAAUUACCGGUAUAAGCUAUCCUGGCACCGAAGCAGGGUGCAUAGAACAACUCAUCGACAAGAUCAAAGAUUUCCUAGCAGACAAAAGGUAUCUUAUUGUCAUAGAUGACAUAUGGGACAUAAAACAUUGGGAAGUGAUCCGAUGUGCUCUAGCUGAUAAUCAUUAUGAGAAUAGAGUAAUCACAACAACCCGUGAUCGCGACGUUGCACGUAAAGUUGGUGGCGCUUAUGAGCUUAAACCCCUCCCUGAUGAGACAUCCAAAAUAUUAUUCUUUGGAAGAAUUUUUGGUAUUAAUAAUGACUGUCCAGAUGAUUUGGUCGAAGUAUCUGAAACUCUCCUGAAGAAAUGUGGCGGUGUGCCAUUGGCUAUCAUCACCAUUGCUGGUUUAUUGGCCAGUCGGGAAGGGAAUAAAAGGGAGUGGAACAAGUUGUGUGAUUCUAUCGGUUCGGGACUUGACAAUAGUCCUGAUGUGAAGACGAUGAGAAAUAUAUUGGCCCUUAGCUAUCGCCAUCUACCUAUCCACCUAAAAACUUGCUUGUUGUAUCUAAGUAUAUUUCCUGAAGACUACAUUAUUCAAGGAAGCAGAUUGAUAUGGAGGUGGAUAUGUGAAGGUUUUGUUAAUGGGGUACAAGAUGAGGACUUAUUUGAGCUUGGUGAGAGCUACCUCACGGAGCUCAUAAACAGAGGAUUGAUCCAAGCGGUGGACUCCUAUAGGUAUGUCAGGACAACGGAUUGCCGUGUGCAUGACUUGGUUCUGGAAUUUAUCAGCUCCAUUUCUAUUGAAGAAAACUUUUGUACUGUAUUGCAUGAUAAGAAGGCCAAAUCAGCUGCGAUAACAAGCAAGGUCCGCAGGUUAUUUCUGCAACUCCAGGAUGUUGAGAUGCCUCAGGGGAGAUUGAUAUUGUCCCACAUGAGGUCACUUACUGUGUCGGGGGUUGACAAAAUGUCACCCCUUUCUUUUUCCCCUCAAUUACGUGUAUUGGAUUUGGAGGACUGCUAUCUUCAGGAGCAACGCCAUAAAUUACUUGAGCAUCUCGGGAGUUUAUGCCAGUUGAGAUAUCUUGCGUUGGGAGAUAUAUACCCCAGUGAGCUCUUAUUGCCGAUCCAAAUUGGGCAGCUAAAACAUCUGAUAUUCUUAAGUGUUGGUGGUCGCUCCAAAAACAAAUUCAGGCCAGGUGUUAUCAGCAAACUGGAGGCUUUGCAAGUGUUGUUAUCUAUCAGCUUAUCCAAGUCUCCGCACAUUGCAAAAGAGCUAAGGCAUUUGACUAAACUGAGGGUUCUUACUUUCUCGUUGGAAGGUAUGCCUGAUGAGAGCUUCAAGGGUUGGAUUUCGGAGUCUCUAGUUCACCUGGAGAAUUUGCAGAGUUUAAUUGUGCACGCCCCUUACCGUUUGGAUGAGGAAAGUGCUUGUUUGGAUUUCUUAGGGGAAGGAUGGAUGCCCCCUCCUCGGAAUCGCCGUAGGUUUGUUUCACCAUUUGGGAAGUUCUCCUAUCUGCCAUCGUGGAUUAACCCGUCAAAUCUUCGGGAGCUCUCCAUGAUAGAGAUCGGGUUGGGCCACCUGCGGCAGAAGGAUCUUGACAUACUUGGUUCCUUUCCAGUUCUUCAAUCCCUCCGGCUGAGUUGCUACAAGAAUAUCUGGGAUGAAGAAAGGAAACAGUGGCCGGUGAUCAGUGCUGAUACUUUCCAGUGCCUGCAGGAGUGUAAGUUGGGGAUACUUCCCACGGGAGGAAAUAUGUUCGCACCAGGAGCAAUGCCCAAGGUACAAAGCCUUACAUUUUCUUUUAGCUUGGGUUUGGCAAUCCUCCCAUCUCUCCGUGAUAGCUUGGGCUUGGAGAAUCUCCCUUCUCUCCAGGAUCUCCAUGUUUACUUCAGCGAAUUCACCGAUGGGUCCGUCACCCAACAAGCAUAUGACCAAGCGGAGGCUGCAAUUAGCUGUGCAGCAGACAACCAUCCCAACCGCCCCACCCUUCAGUUGGGCUUAUCAUGGCCGGCCAAUGACGCGACUGCUUGGCUGCCGCCGCUGCCGCGACCGGCCCGCCCGCCUUCAAACGCCACCGAUGCCGCGCCUGCCGCCCGCCUUCCGCCUCGGGCCGGCCGCUGA
This 2640-nucleotide ribosomal RNA is filed under the name Triticum aestivum (bread wheat). RNAcentral describes it as "partial small subunit ribosomal RNA". The record is from RNAcentral. Lineage: Eukaryota; Viridiplantae; Streptophyta; Magnoliopsida; Poales; Poaceae.